AGCGAACGCUGGCGGCAGGCCUAACACAUGCAAGUCGAACGGACCUUUCGGGAGUAGUGGCGGACGGGGGAGGAACACGGGGGAAGGGGCAUGUAGGUUCGGAAUAGCUCCUGGAAGCGGGGGGUAAUGCAGAAUGAGCCAUGCUGGGGAAAGAUAUAUCGCCUUUAGAGCGGCCCGCGACUGAUGAGCCAGGUGUGUGAGGUAACGGCUCACCAAGGCGACGAUGAGUAGAUGGUCUGGGAGGAUGGCCAGCCACAUUGGGACUGAGACACGGCCGAAACUCCUGCGGGAGGCAGCAGUGGGGAAUCUUGCGCAAUGGGCGAGAGCCUGACGCAGCCCUGCCGCGUGAAUGCUUAAGGUGUUAGGAUUGUAAAAUUCUUUAACCCGCCACUAUAAUGACGGUACCCGAAGAAGAAGCCCCGGCUAACUUCGUG
RNAcentral lists this ribosomal RNA (434 nucleotides) under uncultured bacterium. RNAcentral's name for it is "partial 16S ribosomal RNA". It matches the Rfam family "Bacterial small subunit ribosomal RNA", at positions 30 to 507 of the family's 1533-position model. The record is from RNAcentral.